This 505-nucleotide ribosomal RNA is filed under the name uncultured bacterium. Its description in RNAcentral is "partial 16S ribosomal RNA". It matches the Rfam family "Bacterial small subunit ribosomal RNA", at positions 28 to 507 of the family's 1533-position model. The record is from RNAcentral.
GACGAACGCUGGCGGCGUGCCUAAUACAUGCCAGUAGAACGCACAGUUUAUACCGUAGCUUGCUACACCAUAAACUGUGAGUUGCGAACGGGUGAGUAACGCGUAGGUAACCUGCCUGGUAGCGGGGGAUAACUAUUGGAAACGAUAGCUAAUACCGCAUAAUAUUGAUUAUUGCAUGAUAAUUGAUUGAAAGAUGCUAUUGCAUCACUACCAGAUGGACCUGCGUUGUAUUAGCUAGUAGGUGAGGUAACGGCUCACCUAGGCGACGAUACAUAGCCGACCUGAGAGGGUGAUCGGCCACACUGGGACUGAGACACGGCCCAGACUCCUACGGGAGGCAGCAGUAGGGAAUCUUCGGCAAUGGACGAAGGUCUGACCGAGCAACGCCGCGUGAGUGAAGAAGGUUUUCGGAUCGUAAAGCUCUGUUGUAAGAGAAGAACGGGUGUGAGAGUGGAAAGUUCACACUGUGACGGUAUCUUACCAGAAAGGGACGGCUAACUACGUG